This 301-nucleotide ribosomal RNA is filed under the name uncultured bacterium. RNAcentral describes it as "partial 16S ribosomal RNA". It matches the Rfam family "Bacterial small subunit ribosomal RNA", at positions 509 to 808 of the family's 1533-position model. The record is from RNAcentral.
CAGUCGCGCGGGAAUACAGAGGGUGCGAGCGUUAAUCGGAUUUACUGGGCGUAAAGCGUGCGUAGGCGGCUUCUUAAGUCGGAUGUGAAAUCCCUGAGCUUAACUUAGGAAUUGCAUUCGAUACUGGGAAGCUAGAGUAUGGGAGAGGAUGGUAGAAUUCCAGGUGUAGCGGUGAAAUGCGUAGAGAUCUGGAGGAAUACCGAUGGCGAAGGCAGCCAUCUGGCCUAAUACUGACGCUGAGGUACGAAAGCAUGGGGAGCAAACAGGAUUAGAGACCCCGGUAGUCCCUGUCUCUUAUACA